Aegilops tauschii subsp. strangulata is the source of this 1391-nucleotide RNA transcript. It is a transcript of the gene named tyrosine-protein phosphatase RLPH2, with no coding region annotated. NCBI's taxonomy places the organism in Eukaryota, Viridiplantae, Streptophyta, Magnoliopsida, Poales, Poaceae. The record is from RefSeq and is a predicted model, not a curated record.
GGUAAUUACUUCUUCCGCUCCCGGGAUUAAGCUCCAAGGGAAUAUCGGCAAGAUCACAUCCACAGCCUUCGCAAGGCAACAAAAUUGCAAGCGAUUGCUGCCAAACAGGUCGAUUUCGACCGAUCUCCUCCGCGUAUGUGGUUCUCUGCUGCCCUUGCCGCUUCUCCUCCCAUCCUCCUUGUCCUCGCGCGCACGGGGAAACGACGCCGGCGAGAUGGCUCCUCCCCGCACGGUGAUCUGCGUGGGUGACGUCCACGGCUACAUCUCCAAGCUGGAGAGCCUGUGGGCGAACCUCCAGUCCGCGCUCCCCGCCGACGCCUUCGCCGCCGCGCUCGUCAUCUUCCUCGGGGACUACAACGCGACCGCGGCCCGCACACCCGCCGCGUCCUCGACUUCCUCCUCGCGCUCCCGGCCCGCCACCCGGCUCAGCGCCACGUCUUCCUCUGCGGCAACCACGACCUCGCCUUCGCCGCCUUCGUCGGAGCGCUGCCGCCGCCCCCCGACGGCUCCCCUUUCGCCGCCACCUGGGCCCAAUACAUCGAUAACGAGGCCCACGAGGGCUGGUUCCGCGGGCCGGGGCACGAGGAUAUGCACGUGCAGGGGAGGAGAUGGGGCGGCGUCAUCAAGGAGAGGUGGAACCCCAAGAAGGGCCUCCCGUACAAGGGUUCUAUCUACGAUGCGCAGCCCACCUUCGAGUCCUACGGCGUCGCCCAUGGAUCACCAGAUCUCAUGAAAGCUGUGCCUGAGGAGCACAAGAAGUUUCUGCAUGACUUGGUUUGGGUCCAUGAAGAGGAAGACGUUCGUAUUGAUACAGAUGGAGGCCAGAUUCUAUGCAAACUGAUCGCGGUUCAUGCCGGCCUGGAAAAGUCCUUGGAUUUGAAUGAGCAGCUUAGAGUUUUGAGAACUAGAGACACAAGGGUGCCAAAAGUUCAAAUGCUUAGCGGGAGGCAGGAUGUUUGGAGCAUACCACAGGAUCUGGCCGGCAAGCAGACCAUCGUUGUAAGUGGGCAUCACGGGAAGCUCCACGUGGACGGUCUCAGGUUCAUCAUCGACGAAGGUGGCGGGUACUCAGAUAAACCUAUAGCUGCCGUUGUUUUCCCUUCGAAGGAAGUCAUCCGGAGCACAGAGGGAACGGCCUCCCAGAAUUAAUCUAGACACCAUCGGAAAUGCAAGCUAAUGUCGUAACGGAGUAUCAUAUUUCCAAAAACACAGAACUGAGGUUUUAAUGUAUAACGUCGAGUAAAUAAAUCAAUAAUGUGUGAUCUUCUCCUAAGCAUGCAAUGUGACAACUAGGACAAGUAAGCUCCUGUGUGCCAGUUGACAGCAUCAUUAUACUUCUUGCUACUUGGCUGUCGAUAUGAAUCAUGAACGGCAAUGGCCCUGUUUUUAAA